Molecule: microRNA precursor, 168 nt
Filed under: Leersia perrieri
Lineage: Eukaryota; Viridiplantae; Streptophyta; Magnoliopsida; Poales; Poaceae
Description: pre miRNA MIR2118
Rfam family: MIR2118 microRNA precursor family
Source: Rfam by way of RNAcentral
GCCAGGAAGAGGAAGAAAUGAGUGCCCAAGAGCAGUCGGCAUGAGAACAUGGAGGAAAGCCCGAACUAUCUUUACCUCUGAAAUUCAAGGGUUCAGAUCAGUUCCGGUGUUUUCUCGAUGCCUCUCAUGCCUAUUGUUCUUAGGCGCUCCUUCCUCUUCCUACAUGCU